RNAcentral lists this transfer RNA (74 nucleotides) under Phytophthora megakarya. It matches the Rfam family "tRNA". Rfam says of the family: Transfer RNA (tRNA) molecules are approximately 80 nucleotides in length. The record is from Rfam by way of RNAcentral. Lineage: Eukaryota; Oomycota; Peronosporomycetes; Peronosporales; Peronosporaceae.
GGGCACGUAGCUCAACUGGAUAGAGCCCCGCGGUUUUACGCGGAUGGACACGGGUUAAAUUCCCGUCGUGUUCU